AACGGGUGGUAAUGCCGGAUGUUCCACAUGAUCGCAUGUGAUUGUGGGAAAGAUUCUAUCGGCGUGGGAUGGGGUCGCGUCCUAUCAGCUUGUUGGUGAGGUAACGGCUCACCAAGGCUUCGACGGGUAGCCGGCCUGAGAGGGCGACCGGCCACAUUGGGACUGAGAUACGGCCCAGACUCCUACGGGAGGCAGCAGUGGGGAAUAUUGCACAAUGGGCGCAAGCCUGAUGCAGCGACGCCGCGUGAGGGAUGGAGGCCUUCGGGUUGUAAACCUCUUUUGUUUGGGAGCAAGCCUUCGGGUGAGUGUACCUUUCGAAUAAGCGCCGGCUAACUACGUGCCAGCAGCCGCGGUAAUACGUAGGGCGCAAGCGUUAUCCGGAUUUAUUGGGCGUAAAGGGCUCGUAGGCGGCUCGUCGCGUCCGGUGUGAAAGUCCAUCGCUUAACGGUGGAUCUGCGCCGGGUACGGGCGGGCUGGAGUGCGGUAGGGGAGACUGGAAUUCCCGGUGUAACGGUGGAAUGUGUAGAUAUCGGGA
RNAcentral lists this ribosomal RNA (535 nucleotides) under Bifidobacterium bifidum. Its description in RNAcentral is "bacterial SSU rRNA". It matches the Rfam family "Bacterial small subunit ribosomal RNA", at positions 155 to 702 of the family's 1533-position model. The record is from RNAcentral. Lineage: Bacteria; Bacillati; Actinomycetota; Actinomycetes; Bifidobacteriales; Bifidobacteriaceae.